RNAcentral lists this ribosomal RNA (253 nucleotides) under uncultured bacterium. RNAcentral describes it as "partial 16S ribosomal RNA". It matches the Rfam family "Bacterial small subunit ribosomal RNA", at positions 524 to 776 of the family's 1533-position model. The record is from RNAcentral.
UACGUAGGUGGCGAGCGUUGUCCGGAUUUACUGGGCGUAAAGCGCGCGCAGGCGGCCGUCCAAGUCCGAUGUGAAAUCUUCCGGCUUAACUGGAAAACGGCAUCGGAUACUGGUCGGCUGGAAGGUGGGAGAGGGUAGCGGAAUUCCCGGUGUAGUGGUGAAAUGCGUAGAUAUCGGGAGGAACACCAGUGGCGAAAGCGGCUACCUGGCCCACUCUUGACGCUGAGGCGCGAAAGCUAGGGGAGCGAACGGG